CUCCAACCUUGCUGACUGCUUACAGCUCUGCCUGGAAGGCUCCUACCUCACCACUUCACCUGACCAUCCCUUCUCCAUCCUUUGGGUCUUCACUUGGACAUCACCUCUUCCAGCCGGGCUCAAGGUGAUUAUUCUGGGACCACCAUGCUGUGAGAAAAGCCCAAGCUCCAUAGAAAGGCCCUGGAGGAAGAGAAGUCAUGUGAUAAGAGAUCGAGGAGCACAGAGGUGCCAGACAUAAGAGUGAAGAAGUCAUCCUGGAAGUGGAUGCCCCAGCCCUAGCUAUCUCAGUUGACACCAUGUGGAUCAGAGAUAAACCAUCCAGCCAGACCAUUUCUGAAUUCCUGAUCUAUGAAACUGUGAGCAAAGUAAAAUGUUUGUUUUGAGCCUCUGAGAGUAUGCAGUUUCCUUCAUAGCAAUAUAUAACCGGAACAUCUCCCUUUUAAGGAGUCUUCCAGAAAUCUCAAACAACACUUGGCUUUAAUUUUCUUGGCCCAAACUUAGUCACAUGGCCACACUUAACGAUAAGUAAGUCUGGGAAUUGUAGUCUUUUCCCUGGGCUGCAAUGUUCUCAACUAAAUUCAGGGUUCUAUUACCAAGGGGGAAGGGAAGAAUAGGUAAGAGAAUUGAAAACAGCUGUCAGUCUCCAACAAAAUUUAUGUCUAAUCCAGUGAGUCUCAAAACAUGGCCCCUGGGCCAGCAGCAUCAGUAGCACCUGGAAAUUUGUUAGAAAUGAAAAUUCUCCAAUCCUACCUUAGACCUACUGAAUCAGGAAUCCUGGAGCUGGGAUCCAGCAAUCUGUGAUUGUUGUGAUUGAGUGGUCAAGGAAAUUCUAAAACACACAGAAGUUUGAGAACCAUUGGUCUAAACUUAAAGGAAAUUAUUCUUCCUGGUGAAAUGUCAGAAAUAUUUCCUUUAAAAUCAGGAACAGAACAAAGAUGUCCAGAUUCAUUGCUUCUAUUUAACAUCAUGCUUUCUGUUCUGGCCAGCGCAGCAAGAAAAGAAAAAGAAAUAAAUGUAAAAGAAGAGAUAAAACUGUCAUAUUCACUGUUGAUUUGAUUGUGUAUAUUUAAAAUAAAUCCAAGUUCCAAGUUGCUGAUUGUAUGAAUGUACAAAAAUGGGUUUCUUCCUAUACGACACAACAAAUUAUUUAGAUAUCAUUGGUAAUGGCAAG
RNAcentral lists this long non-coding RNA (1171 nucleotides) under Homo sapiens (human). RNAcentral's name for it is "HSALNT0020838". The record is from RNAcentral. Lineage: Eukaryota; Metazoa; Chordata; Mammalia; Primates; Hominidae.